RNAcentral lists this ribosomal RNA (717 nucleotides) under uncultured Serratia sp. RNAcentral describes it as "bacterial SSU rRNA". It matches the Rfam family "Bacterial small subunit ribosomal RNA", at positions 771 to 1489 of the family's 1533-position model. The record is from RNAcentral. Lineage: Bacteria; Pseudomonadati; Pseudomonadota; Gammaproteobacteria; Enterobacterales; Yersiniaceae.
AACCGGAUUAGAUACCCUGGUAGUCCACGCUGUAAACGAUGUCGAUUUGGAGGUUGUGCCCUUGAGGCGUGGCUUCCGGAGCUAACGCGUUAAAUCGACCGCCUGGGGAGUACGGCCGCAAGGUUAAAACUCAAAUGAAUUGACGGGGGCCCGCACAAGCGGUGGAGCAUGUGGUUUAAUUCGAUGCAACGCGGAGAACCUUACCUACUCUUGACAUCCAGAGAACUUUCCAGAGAUGGAUUGGUGCCUUCGGGAACUCUGAGACAGGUGCUGCAUGGCUGUCGUCAGCUCGUGUUGUGAAAUGUUGGGUUAUGUCCCGCAACGAGCGCAACCCUUAUCCUUUGUUGCCAGCGGUUCGGCCGGGAACUCAAAGGAGACUGCCAGUGAUAAACUGGAGGAAGGUGGGGAUGACGUCAAGUCAUCAUGGCCCUUACGAGUAGGGCUACACACGUGCUACAAUGGCGUAUACAAAGAGAAGCGACCUCGCGAGAGCAAGCGGACCUCAUAAAGUACGUCGUAGUCCGGAUUGGAGUCUGCAACUCGACUCCAUGAAGUCAGAAUCGCUAGUAAUCGUAGAUCAGAAUGCUACGGUGAAUACGUUCCCGGGCCUUGUACACACCGCCCGUCACACCAUGGGAGUGGGUUGCAAAAGAAGUAGUAGCUUAACCUUCAGGAGGGCGCUUACCACUUUGUGAUUCAUGACUGGGGUGAAGUCGU